Oleiphilus sp. HI0065 is the source of this 118-nucleotide non-coding RNA. The record is from Rfam. Lineage: Bacteria; Pseudomonadati; Pseudomonadota; Gammaproteobacteria; Oceanospirillales; Oleiphilaceae.
GCCCUAAACUGUACGUAUGCGCGGUUUCUGGGUUUUAACUUAGCAUAUUGAGGAAAAUAUCAUGGCACUAAGUGCAGCUGAAAAAGCAGAAAUUCUUAAAGAUUACCAACAAGCUGAA